UACGUAGGCAGCAAGCGUUGUUCGGAAUUACUGGGCGUAAAGAGUGUGUAGGCGGUGUUCUAAGUUUGUCGUGAAAUCUCCCGGCUUAACUGGGAGGGUGCGGCGAAAACUGGAAUGCUAGAGGAUGGGAGAGGUAAGCGGAAUUCCUGGUGUAGCGGUGAAAUGCGUAGAUAUCAGGAGGAACACCUGUGGUGUAGACAGCUUACUGGACCAUUUCUGACGCUGAGGCGCGAAAGCUAGGGGAGCAAACAGG
RNAcentral lists this ribosomal RNA (253 nucleotides) under uncultured bacterium. RNAcentral describes it as "partial 16S ribosomal RNA". It matches the Rfam family "Bacterial small subunit ribosomal RNA", at positions 524 to 776 of the family's 1533-position model. The record is from RNAcentral.